GCAACCUAAGUGCCCAUCAAGGGACAAAUGGAUAAAGAAGAUGUGGUAUAUAUACACAAUGGAAUAUUACUCAGCCAUAAGAAACUAUGAAAUCCAGCCAUUUGUGACAACGUGGAUGGACAUUGAAGAAUGGUGCUUUAUGAAGACAGGGAUCUUUUAUUCCUGUUCACUGCCAUAUCCCUUUAUCCCGGAACAGUGCCUGGCCCAUAGAAGAUUAGCCCUGAGCUAACAUCCGUCGUCAGUCUUCCUCUUUUUGCCGUGGAAGACCGGCCCUGGGCUAACAUCCGUGCCCAUCUUCCUCUACUUUAUAUGGGACUUCGCCACAGCAUGGCUUGACAAACAGUGCCAUCGUCCGCGCCUGGGAUCUGAAUCUGCAAACCCCAGGCCGCCAAAGCGCAGCGUGCACUCAACAGCUCUGCUACCGGGCCAGCCCCCUCACUUUGCCCUUAAAGGUCACCCCUGACUUUCCUGCCCAGUACCUCCAAUUGCCGAGGUCAAAAUUCUUUAACUCUUGUCUACUUGAUUGGUUUCCUAAAAUCUACCUGCUUCUUGCCACACUCAUAUUCCCACCCUCCCUCCAACCCCAUCACCAACCCCAGCUACUUCAACAGACUCUGAUGGUUUUGCAAUGUUUUUCCUGCCUGCCUAUCCAGAUUAAUGAUGAUUUUCUGUGGCAAAGAAUAUGAGCUGCCAACCCCAAUAUCCAUUCUUCCUUUGCGACAGAACUCGGGGCAAUGUGCCUGCUGAAAAAAUUUCAUUUCCUAGCUUCCAUUACCAAUAGGAAUAUACAAGUGGAAGUAACUGGGUGGAACUUCUAGGAAUCUCUGCUGCCUGGAAUGCAGACAUGUUGGUUGGAUGUCUAGUAGCCACCUUGAGAGCAUGGGACGAGACUAAGAUAAUAAAAGAGACAAACGCCAGCAAGGGCCUACCUUCAAACUUCUCAUUAUGUGAGAAAAGCAAAACCUUAUGUAUUAAGAAUCAUCACAUCUCUGUUGUUAGGAGCCAAAAACAAGACCUCACAGAUACACCUCUGCGUGGAUCCUGUGGCACACUGCCCCACCCCCUUCAGCAAUGAAAGCCUUAUUC
Diceros bicornis minor is the source of this 1086-nucleotide long non-coding RNA. RefSeq lists it as uncharacterized. The record is from RefSeq and is a predicted model, not a curated record. The transcript is spliced from 3 exons. Lineage: Eukaryota; Metazoa; Chordata; Mammalia; Perissodactyla; Rhinocerotidae.